GAUGAAGAACGUAGCGAAAUGCGAUAAGUAAUGCGAAUUGCAGAUCUCCGUGAGUCAUUGAAUCUUUGAACGCACAUUGCGCCCUCGGGUAUUCCCGAGGGCAUGCCUGUCCGAGCGUCAUUAUCCAACCAUCAAGCUCGGCUUGCGGUUGAGCCCCGCACCGUCCCCGGGACGGUGGGCUCGAAACAUGUUGGGCGCCCGUGAGGUUGUCGGUGCAGCGAGCUCUCGAGCACGUGCCAGGCAACCGCUCUGGGCGUCGGCCAGCCCCCCCAUUUUCUCAGGUUGACCUCGGAUCAGGUAGGAAUACCCGCUGAACUUAAGCAUAUCAAUAAGCGGAGGA
This 340-nucleotide unclassified non-coding RNA is filed under the name soil metagenome. RNAcentral describes it as "partial contains 5.8S ribosomal RNA, internal transcribed spacer 2, and large subunit ribosomal RNA". The stretch from base 1 to 120 matches the Rfam family "5.8S ribosomal RNA", at positions 35 to 154 of the family's 154-position model. The record is from RNAcentral.